AUAUUCCUGUACCAGUUGCUUUUGUUUGAGCGAUGGAGGGACGCAGGAGGCUAAGGAAUGCACACGAUCGGAAAUGUGUGUCCAAGCAGCAAGUCUGAGAACGAGUGAAAUGCUUUUUCUCUCAAGGACAAGCUGUGAUGGGGAGCGAAAUUUAGUAGCGAAGUUCCUGAUGUCACACUGCCAAGAAAAGCUUCUAGUGAGAAAGUAACUGCCCGUACCGCAAACCGACACAGGUAGUUGAGGAGAGAAUCCUAAGGUGUGCGAGAGAACUCUCGUUAAGGAACUCGGCAAAAUGACCCCGUAACUUCGGGAGAAGGGGUGCUGACCGCAAGGUCAGCCGCAGUGAAUAGGCCCAAGCGACUGUUUAUCAAAAACACAGGUCUCUGCAAAAUCGAAAGAUGACGUAUAGGGGCUGACGCCUGCCCGGUGCUGGAAGGUUAAGAGGAGAGGUUAGCGCAAGCGAAGCUUUGAAUUGAAGCCCCAGUAAACGGCGGCCGUAACUAUAACGGUCCUAAGGUAGCGAAAUUCCUUGUCGGGUAAGUUCCGACCCGCACGAAAGGCGUAACGAUUUGGGCACUGUCUCAACGAGAGACUCGGUGAAAUUAUAGUACCAGUGAAGAUGCUGGUUACCCGCGACAGGACGGUAAGACCCCAUGGAGCUUUACUGCAGUUUGUUAUUGCGUGUUUGUAUCACAUGUACAGGAUAGGUAGGAGCCGAAGAUACCGGGACGCCAGUCUCGGAGGAGGCAACGGUGGGAUACUACCCUUGUGAUAUGACCACUCUAACCCGCUGCUCUUAGCGAGCAGGGAGACAGUGUCAGACGGGCAGUUUGACUGGGGCGGUCGCCUCCAAAAAUGUAACGGAGGCGCCCAAAGGUUCCCUCAGAAUGGUUGGAAAUCAUUCGUAGAGUGUAAAGGCAGAAGGGAGCUUGACUGCGAGACCUACAAGUCGAGCAGGGACGAAAAUCGGGCUUAGUGAUCCGGUGGUUCCGCAUGGAAGGGCCAUCGCUCAACGGAUAAAAGCUACCCUGGGGAUAACAGGCUUAUCUCCCCCAAGAGUUCACAUCGACGGGGAGGUUUGGCACCUCGAUGUCGGCUCAUCGCAUCCUGGGGCUGUAGUCGGUCCCAAGGGUUGGGCUGUUCGCCCAUUAAAGCGGUACGCGAGCUGGGUUCAGAACGUCGUGAGACAGUUCGGUCCCUAUCCGUCGCGGGCGUUGGAAAUUUGAGAGGAGCUGUCCUUAGUACGAGAGGACCGGGAUGGACACACCGCUGGUGUACCAGUUGUUCUGCCAAGAGCAUCGCUGGGUAGCUAUGUGUGGACGGGAUAAACGCUGAAAGCAUCUAAGCGUGAAGCCCCCCUCAAGAUGAGAUUUCCCAUCACUUCAAGUGAGUAAGACCCCUGAAAGAUGAUCAGGUAGAUAGGUUGGGAGUGGAAGUACAGCGAUGUAUGGAGCGGACCAAUACUAAUCGGUCGAGGACUUAACCAA
RNAcentral lists this ribosomal RNA (1487 nucleotides) under metagenome. RNAcentral's name for it is "bacterial LSU rRNA". It matches the Rfam family "Bacterial large subunit ribosomal RNA", at positions 1433 to 2925 of the family's 2925-position model. The record is from RNAcentral.